GGGAGUCCAAUAUUACUGCAUUCUCCGUUAUCUAUGACACUCAUUACAUGUUCGUGGGAGAUGAAUAUGGUUAUCUCUCUGUUCUGAAGUAUGAGGAAGGAAUCAUGGAACUGUUGCCUUAUCACAUGCCUCCGAAUCUUAUAGCUGAAGCUGCUAAUAUUUCAAUGCCCGACCAACUCGCCAUUGUUGGUUUACUUCCCCAACCUAAUUCACAUGGAAAUAGGGUCCUGAUUGCUUAUG
RNAcentral lists this unclassified non-coding RNA (240 nucleotides) under Hevea brasiliensis (rubber tree). The record is from RNAcentral. Lineage: Eukaryota; Viridiplantae; Streptophyta; Magnoliopsida; Malpighiales; Euphorbiaceae.